Molecule: long non-coding RNA, 543 nt
Organism: Salvia splendens (bonfire salvia)
Lineage: Eukaryota; Viridiplantae; Streptophyta; Magnoliopsida; Lamiales; Lamiaceae
Exons: 3
Source: RefSeq, a predicted model, not a curated record
UGUCAGCACAGUUCACGAUCUUUGUGCUGUCCUCGCCACGGACUUCUUUACUACUGUCACAGAAGUGCAUCUUAGCCUGAAUGACGCCACUGGUGUUCACUCAAAAAGCAUCUUUGUGCUGUCCUUGCUCCUAGUGAUUUUUCAGAACUUUGUCGAACAUUAAAGAAGGUUAUCACCGAUGUAAACAUUACUGUGGGAAAAUAAAGAAAAAAAAAGGAAAAAAAAAGAAAAAAAAGAAAAAAAAAAUGAAAUAAAAAAGGGAAAAAAAAGGCAUCCUUGGUAGGGAUCCGAGAACCCUUCAUAAAAACAAGGAAAAAAAAAGAAAAAAAAACAUUGCUGUUGCAGUUGAAGCUAUUCAAGCAUUGGGCAACUUUGCUAUGGAUCUGAGAACCCAUUUUUCGGCAAGAUGUCGCUUCUUAUUGCCUCUACUAUUGGAGAAAUUGUAGGAGAAGAAACCUACUUCAACGGAGGCCCUUACCCAAACUCUUCAGGCAAUGCCUAAGUCCAGAUGGUUGAGUGUAAAUGACACUGUUGAAGGCAUGA